GAUGAACGCUGGCGGCGUGCUUAACACAUGCAAGUCGAACGGUGAAGCAGGAGCUUGCUCUUGUGGAUCAGUGGCGAACGGGUGAGUAACACGUGAGCAACCUGCCCCUGACUCUGGGAUAAGCGCUGGAAACGGCGUCUAAUACUGGAUAUGUGAUGUGACCGCAUGGUCUGCAUCUGGAAAGAAUUUCGGUUGGGGAUGGGCUCGCGGCCUAUCAGCUUGUUGGUGAGGUAAUGGCUCACCAAGGCGUCGACGGGUAGCCGGCCUGAGAGGGUGACCGGCCACACUGGGACUGAGGCACGGCCCAGACUCCUACGGGAGGCAGCAGUGAGGAAUAUUGCACAAUGGGCGGAAGCCUGAUGCAGCAACGCCGCGUGAGGGAUGACGGCCUUCGGGUUGUAAACCUCUUUUAGCAGGGAAGAAGCGAAAGUGACGGUACCUGCAGAAAAAGCACCGGCUAACUACGUGCCAGCCGCCGCGGUAA
This 484-nucleotide ribosomal RNA is filed under the name uncultured bacterium. RNAcentral describes it as "partial 16S ribosomal RNA". It matches the Rfam family "Bacterial small subunit ribosomal RNA", at positions 28 to 523 of the family's 1533-position model. The record is from RNAcentral.